CGGCCCGGCCGGGGCCCAUGGCGAGCUGCCGGGUAGGUAAAAGUAAAAAAGUUGUUAAGAGGCGCGGUGUCGGCGUGCUUGUAUUUGCGGGAGAGAAUUAUCUGGAGGUGCUGGGUAGCCGGGAAGACUUGGACGGAUCUGGCCCGGGAAUGGGUCUGGGCCUGGAUUCUGGUGUGGUGUAGGGUAGGCGUAGAUAGAUGAGUGGUCUAGGGUAGAUACAGGGUAGCCAGAAGUCUGGUAUAUAGUAUGGGGGUGUAGGGUAGGUCUGGACACCGGUUUCCACUUCGCCCUUCCCUUUACUCGAGGGAGGACGAUCUUGGCUGGGACGGAGGUGUAGGGUAGGCUUAAUUUACGAUUACAUGAUCUGUGUCACUCUAGGGUAGGUGAAAAUCCCAUAUAUAUAUGAUCACAUUUGGUGAAGAGGUGGUUUGGCUGGUGAGAUGGACAAAAGUGCAAUAUAGAAUUAUAUGUGAUUUUGCAAAAGUGGGUGUGAAAUUGGGAAAUCGGUUUUCCCGCACAGAUGAGAGCACGUUUGAGGUGCCAUGAGAUGCACCUCUCCGAGACGACCUCAACGGUACCGCCGAUGUGUUGGUCGGGCUCCUGUGCGGCCGUCCAGGGCGGGAUAAGUAGAGAAUGUGGUGGUGUAGGGUAGGUGACCAGGUCCAGGGUAGGUUCGCCAAAUCCGUCAAUCCGGCUUGAAUCGAAGGACAGGUCUAGGGUAGGCCAGAGUCGGGUCUAGGGUAGGCAACCCUCACCCUCGAAGUGGUCUACCCGGUAGCCAACUUCAAUCGCCUCUCACGGCCGCCACGGACCUCGAAUGACGACGGGACUACCACCAUCGGAUUCGCCUUGGUCGAAAUAGCUGGUAUAUGCACUUUUGAAAAAAUGCGUGCAAAAUGGUUUUGUGGUUUGGUGGCCGUGAGUCGAUUUUUUUGUUUUCACAUACAAAUGAAUUUUGCGGAAAAUAAAAAGUGGCCCACGAGGCAGUCCUGGCGUGCGGCCCACUAAAACGGUCUCGGAGGGUAUAUGAGAAGGGAGCAAAUCCGGCCGAGCCUGAAAGGGUGAGGACAAACCGGGCGAGCAACCUCUCAGUAUCAGAUCUUGCAGACUUCCACUGCGUGUCCCUCUGUACAGCUUUGCAGGCUCCGGCCUCGGCAGCGGGGGGUUCAUAGUGGUCGUCGACCUCCACGAAACUGCACGCUCCGGCGUGACAGCGUACUGGGGAUGCCUGUGUAGAUGCAGUCCGGGCUUGCCUGGACCGCUAGCAGAUGGGCUCUGUGGAUGACUGGCCGCUGGCUAGACCUGAAACCUGAGCAACGGGAGGUAACCUCUCGCCGCGGACACCGGAAUGGUAGAAGCGGCGUGCUGCGUCCUCCUCUUGGGGCCCCUAAGCCACACCUCCCAUAGCGGGUUCGGUGCGGCGGACGGACGCCCUGGGGAAUUUAGAGGGGGAAAGCGGAUUGCCCUAGCGGUGCUGUUGGCCCUGCCGACCUCACUGCGAAAGGCGCGACUUCACCGUCGCCACCCAGUAACUUGUC
This 1538-nucleotide unclassified non-coding RNA is filed under the name Fusarium oxysporum. Its description in RNAcentral is "partial miscellaneous RNA". Lineage: Eukaryota; Fungi; Ascomycota; Sordariomycetes; Hypocreales; Nectriaceae. The record is from RNAcentral.